AUUGAACGCUGGCGGCAUGCCUUACACAUGCAAGUCGAACGGCAGCACGGGGGCAACCCCGGUGGCGAGUGGCGAACGGGUGAGUAAUGCAUCGGAACGUGCCCCGUAGCGGGGGAUAACCAGUCGAAAGACUGGCUAAUACCGCAUACGCUCCACGGAGGAAAGCAGGGGAUCGCAAGACCUUGCACUAUGGGGAGCGGCCGAUGCCCGAUUAGCUAGUUGGUGAGGAAAGGCUCACCAAGGCGACGAUCGGUAGCUGGUUUGAGAGAACGACCAGCC
RNAcentral lists this ribosomal RNA (279 nucleotides) under uncultured bacterium. RNAcentral describes it as "partial 16S ribosomal RNA". It matches the Rfam family "Bacterial small subunit ribosomal RNA", at positions 29 to 309 of the family's 1533-position model. The record is from RNAcentral.